AGAGUUUGAUCCUGGCUCAGAUUGAACGCUGGCGGCAGGCCUAACACAUGCAAGUCGAGCGGUAGCACAGAGAGCUUGCUCUCGGGUGACGAGCGGCGGACGGGUGAGUAAUGUCUGGGAAACUGCCUGAUGGAGGGGGAUAACUACUGGAAACGGUAGCUAAUACCGCAUAACGUCGCAAGACCAAAGUGGGGGACCUUCGGGCCUCAUGCCAUCAGAUGUGCCCAGAUGGGAUUAGCUAGUAGGUGGGGUAACGGCUCACCUAGGCGACGAUCCCUAGCUGGUCUGAGAGGAUGACCAGCCACACUGGAACUGAGACACGGUCCAGACUCCUACGGGAGGCAGCAGUGGGGAAUAUUGCACAAUGGGCGCAAGCCUGAUGCAGCCAUGCCGCGUGUGUGAAGAAGGCCUUCGGGUUGUAAAGCACUUUCAGCGGGGAGGAAGGCGAUAAGGUUAAUAACCUUGUCGAUUGACGUUACCCGCAGAAGAAGCACCGGCUAACUCCGUGCCAGCAGCCGCGGUAAUACGGAGGGUGCAAGCGUUAAUCGGAAUUACUGGGCGUAAAGCGCACGCAGGCGGUCUGUCAAGUCGGAUGUGAAAUCCCCGGGCUCAACCUGGGAACUGCAUUCGAAACUGGCAGGCUAGAGUCUUGUAGAGGGGGGUAGAAUUCCAGGUGUAGCGGUGAAAUGCGUAGAGAUCUGGAGGAAUACCGGUGGCGAAGGCGGCCCCCUGGACAAAGACUGACGCUCAGGUGCGAAAGCGUGGGGAGCAAACAGGAUUAGAUACCCUGGUAGUCCACGCUGUAAACGAUGUCGAUUUGGAGGUUGUGCCCUUGAGGCGUGGCUUCCGGAGCUAACGCGUUAAAUCGACCGCCUGGGGAGUACGGCCGCAAGGUUAAAACUCAAAUGAAUUGACGGGGGCCCGCACAAGCGGUGGAGCAUGUGGUUUAAUUCGAUGCAACGCGAAGAACCUUACCUGGUCUUGACAUCCACAGAACUUUCCAGAGAUGGAUUGGUGCCUUCGGGAACUGUGAGACAGGUGCUGCAUGGCUGUCGUCAGCUCGUGUUGUGAAAUGUUGGGUUAAGUCCCGCAACGAGCGCAACCCUUAUCCUUUGUUGCCAGCGGUUAGGCCGGGAACUCAAAGGAGACUGCCAGUGAUAAACUGGAGGAAGGUGGGGAUGACGUCAAGUCAUCAUGGCCCUUACGACCAGGGCUACACACGUGCUACAAUGGCAUAUACAAAGAGAAGCGACCUCGCGAGAGCAAGCGGACCUCAUAAAGUAUGUCGUAGUCCGGAUUGGAGUCUGCAACUCGACUCCAUGAAGUCGGAAUCGCUAGUAAUCGUAGAUCAGAAUGCUACGGUGAAUACGUUCCCGGGCCUUGUACACACCGCCCGUCACACCAUGGGAGUGGGUUGCAAAAGAAGUAGGUAGCUUAACCUUCGGGAGGGCGCUUACCACUUUGUGAUUCAUGACUGGGGUGAAGUCGUAACAAGGUAACC
RNAcentral lists this ribosomal RNA (1501 nucleotides) under uncultured Klebsiella sp. RNAcentral's name for it is "bacterial SSU rRNA". It matches the Rfam family "Bacterial small subunit ribosomal RNA". The record is from RNAcentral. Lineage: Bacteria; Pseudomonadati; Pseudomonadota; Gammaproteobacteria; Enterobacterales; Enterobacteriaceae.